This 73-nucleotide transfer RNA is filed under the name Treponema sp. RNAcentral's name for it is "tRNA-Thr". It matches the Rfam family "tRNA". From Rfam's summary of the family: Transfer RNA (tRNA) molecules are approximately 80 nucleotides in length. Their secondary structure includes four short double-helical elements and three loops (D, anti-codon, and T loops). Further hydrogen bonds mediate the characteristic L-shaped molecular structure. tRNAs have two regions of fundamental functional importance: the anti-codon, which is responsible for specific mRNA codon recognition, and the 3' end, to which the tRNAs corresponding amino acid is attached (by aminoacyl-tRNA synthetases). tRNAs cope with the degeneracy of the genetic code in two manners: having more than one tRNA (with a specific anti-codon) for a particular amino acid; and 'wobble' base-pairing, i.e. permitting non-standard base-pairing at the 3rd anti-codon position. The record is from RNAcentral. Lineage: Bacteria; Pseudomonadati; Spirochaetota; Spirochaetia; Treponematales; Treponemataceae.
GCCAGGAUGGCUCAGUUGGCAGAGCGGCGCACUCGUAAUGCGCAGGUCCCGGGUUCGAUUCCCGGUCCUGGCU